GUACUGACUGUGAAUACUACAUCUUGUACUGAGUCGCCCCUCUCUUCUGUGGAACAUUAGAAAGCAAGAGGAACUACCAUUUGUGAUAGACGAAGACAGAUUUGCAGGUGGAGGGAGUGACAAGACCUGAUUUGUUUUCUGCACAUAAUGAGUAAUCCUUCAGACACAGAGAUCCUCAUCUGCAGCACGAGAGAAAAGCUGGAGAAAAUGGCUGAGAUUGGAGAGGAGGGAGCAGAGGUAGAGAGGAAGUCAAAACCUUGGAAUGGAUGACGUACCACUUCCCCAAUGAAUGAAGCUGCAGAUUCAGCCACAUGUAGUUGAUGUCGCCAUGUCAAGACUGCAUUUUUCCUUCCAAACACAGAAGUAUGGGGUAAACUUAAUGCAGGACUAUGAAGAUGAAGCCAUUGAGGCCCAAGACUUUAUCUUGAUUACUUCAAUUCCUUGGAUAGGUUUACUCCCUGCCCACACUGGGCCCUUGUACAUGCUUAGACUGAACCUACUGGCCCUUCUCUUGCUGGAAAGUUGCCUUCCAAGAAGUGCAAGAGCUCAGAUUGCACCUGCUAACUGUUAAGACCAGACUUGGCCAGGCUACCAGAUCUUUCUGCAACAAGGCCAGCUUCACACUGCCUGAGCAGACCUUUCUGUUCUGCCAAAGGCAGCUGAAGCAGGGAAAAUGGAUCAGCAAAGGGAUCUGGGCCAGGCGCAGUGGCUCAUUUCUCUAACCUCAGCACUUUGAGAGGCCAAGGUGGGACGAUCACUUGAGGCCAGGAGUUCAAGACCAGCCUGGGCAACAAAAUGAGACUCCAUUUCUACAAAACAAUAAGGUUAAAAAAAAUUAAUCAGGUGUGGUGGCAACUAUGGUGCCAACUCUUGAGACGCUAAAUCGGGAGGAUCACUUGAGCCCAGGAGUUGGAGGCUGGAGUGAGCUAUGAUAGCACCACUGUAUUCCAGCCUGGAAGACAGAGUGAGACCCUGUCUCAAAAAAAGUAAAUAAAGGAAUCUGAACUCGAA
Long non-coding RNA from Pan troglodytes (chimpanzee), 1011 nucleotides. RefSeq lists it as uncharacterized. Lineage: Eukaryota; Metazoa; Chordata; Mammalia; Primates; Hominidae. The record is from RefSeq and is a predicted model, not a curated record. The transcript has 2 exons.